RNAcentral lists this long non-coding RNA (243 nucleotides) under Ananas comosus (pineapple). RNAcentral describes it as "long non-coding RNA (ACOM_LNC037029)". The record is from RNAcentral. Lineage: Eukaryota; Viridiplantae; Streptophyta; Magnoliopsida; Poales; Bromeliaceae.
CGAUGUGGUUUUCGGGAUUUCCGGUGAGUUACGGUAAUCGGUAUUGGGAAACCAAUCUUUGUGAAAUUGUUUGUGGGGUUUUGGAUACUGUGGUUAUUAGUUGUGGGUUAGAUACUAACCCGGUGGACCCUCUAUAGGUCCUGUCGAUAUUCUUUUGCAGUCAGGAGACAGACACGACAUCCUUACAUGUGGGUACUUCGAUCCGACGUCGGUACAGUGGUGCACGCUUGGUAAUGGUUUCUU